CUGAUUUCUGCCGAGGUAGGUUGAGUCUUUCGGGACUCCCUACCAAAGCGAAUACACCACUUGUGCACUAAAAUGUCUUUUGGGUCAUUUGGGAAAUUAUCUUGGAUGAUUAACCAGGGGCCCAGAUUUUUAUAAACCAAUUAAUAAUUUUGUCUGAAAUAAAUCUAGUAAUAGAAA
Molecule: unclassified non-coding RNA, 177 nt
Filed under: uncultured Chytridiomycota
Lineage: Eukaryota; Fungi; Chytridiomycota
Description: sequence contains ITS1
Source: RNAcentral